This 407-nucleotide ribosomal RNA is filed under the name uncultured bacterium. RNAcentral's name for it is "partial 16S ribosomal RNA". It matches the Rfam family "Bacterial small subunit ribosomal RNA", at positions 30 to 526 of the family's 1533-position model. The record is from RNAcentral.
AUUGAACGCUGGCGGCAGGCCUAACACAUGCAAGUCGAGCGGAGCGGCCGACGGGUGCGUUAUGCCUAGGAAUCUGCCUGGUAGUGGGGGUUACCGUCCGUUAACGGGCGCUAAUACCGCAUCCUAUCAGAUGAGCCUAGGUCGGAUUGGCUAGUUGGUGGGGUAAAGGCCUACCAAGGCGACGAUCCGUAACUGGUCUGAGAGGAUGAUCAGUCACACUGGAACUGAGACACGGUCCAGACUCCUACGGGAGGCAGCAGUGGGGAAUAUUGGACAAUGGGCGAAAGCCUGAUCCAGCCAUGCCGCGUGUGUGAAGAAGGUCUUCGGAUUGUAAAGCACUUUAAGUUGGGAGGCGUUACCAAAAGAAUAAGCACCGGCUAACUUCGUGCCAGCAGCCGCGGUAAUUC